Molecule: ribosomal RNA, 876 nt
Filed under: Triticum aestivum (bread wheat)
Lineage: Eukaryota; Viridiplantae; Streptophyta; Magnoliopsida; Poales; Poaceae
Description: partial small subunit ribosomal RNA
Source: RNAcentral
AUGGAGGAGAGGUGCGCCCUGGCCACGGAGCUGGCGCAGGUGCUCGACACGGUGAGGCAGCUGGAGGCGCACAUGGGCGUGAAGGGCGGCGCUGACGGAGGGGAGACCUGCCGGGCGCUGGUGUCGAGCAUGCGCUCCUCCGUCGACAGGUCCAUCCACAUCGCCAUGUCGUCGUGCUGCGUUGUCCUCGGAGCGCCGGAGUCGCCGCCGUCUGCCGGCGGGAGCCCCCGCAGCGGCGGCUCUGACCAGGCUGCCGACUCCCCUUGCCGCGGCGCUCAUGCAGCUGGGCAGUCCAAGAAGAGGAAAACACAGCCCAAGUGGAGCACACAGGUGAGGGUGAAUUCCGUGGAGGACGUCGGCCCCCUCGACGACGGCUUCAGCUGGAGGAAGUAUGGUCAGAAGGACAUCCUCGGUGCCAAGUACCCAAGGGCCUACUUCCGGUGCACCCACCGCCACACGCAGGGCUGCUACGCCAGCAAGCAGGUGCAACGUGCUCACGGCGACCCGCUGCUCUUCGACGUCGUGUACCAUGGGAACCACACGUGCGUGCAGGGCAAGCACUGCAACAGCCAGACGCCGCAGCCCGCGGCAAGCGGAGAGCACCGGCAGCCGCAGCCUGCCGGCGGACAGGAGCGGGUCUCCGUGGGACAGAAGACCGACGGCGGCGUGGCGGCUCCGUUCUCGUUCCCCUCCAAACAAGCAGGCGCCGACACGGGCAGCGACUUCCAGGCCGGCUGUGCCACCACUGCAUCCCCCUUCAUGUCGCCGGCGACGUCAGAGUGCAAGGCCUCCACGACGGAAUCCCCGAUGGGGGACAUGGACUUCAUGCUCCAGCUGGCCGACGCCGAUUUCUUGGACAACUCGCGCUAUCUCUAA